Molecule: long non-coding RNA, 727 nt
Organism: Canis lupus familiaris (dog)
Lineage: Eukaryota; Metazoa; Chordata; Mammalia; Carnivora; Canidae
Exons: 3
Source: RefSeq, a predicted model, not a curated record
CUCUCACCAGAACCCAACCAUGCUGGCACCUUGGUCCCAGAUUUCCAGCCUCCAUAACUACCUCGGUGACUUCCUCCUUUGGCCUCCCCUGGUCUUCACUCUGUGACAUGACAUGCCGCCUCCUCCAGGGAACUGUAACAAGCUGUCUGUCCAAUAGCAGGGAUCUCCUCAUCUGUUGGCCUUACUAUAUGUGAAUUAAUGAUAAAACCUACAUCUUAAACGACUGUGCUGUUAUAACCAGUGGAGCACUCAUUAAAGACCAGUAAAGGAAUGGGAAAGUCAUCUUAACUUAAAGGAUGGACAAACCAUGGAAAACAUGGUUUCCUUUCGAUGCUGAAUCUGUCCCCUCUUCAUCCCAGAGAGAGAAAGAUGUGACAGGACCUGCAGAACAUGUAGAUCUCCUCAAGCAACCAGCUACCUGGACAUAACCAGUGCCUGUCUUUACCCUCUCACUGGCAGAAAAUCAGAGAAAGAGAGGGGGAGAGAAAAAGAGAGCACCAGGAAGAUGGCUAGGCUGCACAAACUGUUUGUUCCAGAAGACUGAAGGUGCAAGAAGAGUCAGGACUUCCCUUGACACCUUUUAUAGCAGGCCUAAGGCAUGGAUCAGGAAUGUCAAGUUCUGGUUCAUCAUGGCGUUGAGGGCAUUUGUAAAUACAGUUCUCUUCCUCCAGCUUGAAUCUGGGAAAGAUUGAAGUAGCUUCCUUUGAUUCUAAGAGUGAAACACUAG